UAAAUAGCCCGGCUGGCUUUGGUCGGUCGCCGGCUUCUUAGAGGGACUAUCGGCUCAAGCCGAUGGAAGUUUGAGGCAAUAACAGGUCUGUGAUGCCCUUAGAUAUCCUGGGCUGCACGCGCGCUACACUGACGGAGACAGCGAGUUUUUUUCCUUUGCCGAAAGG
RNAcentral lists this ribosomal RNA (166 nucleotides) under Scolecobasidium sp. RNAcentral describes it as "partial small subunit ribosomal RNA". It matches the Rfam family "Eukaryotic small subunit ribosomal RNA", at positions 1352 to 1540 of the family's 1831-position model. The record is from RNAcentral. Lineage: Eukaryota; Fungi; Ascomycota; Dothideomycetes; Venturiales; Sympoventuriaceae.